UACGGAGGGUGCAAGCGUUGUUCGGAAUCACUGGGUGUAAAGCGCGUGUAGGCGGCCUUCUCAGUCUGGUGUGAAAGCCCGGGGCUCAACCUGGGAAUUGCGAUGGAGACUGCAAGGCUAGAAUCUGGCAGAGGGGGGUAGAAUUCCACGUGUAGCAGUGAAAUGCGUAGAGAUGUGGAGGAACACCGAUGGCGAAGGCAGCCCCCUGGGUCAAGAUUGACGCUCAUGCACGAAAGCGUGGGGAGCAAACAGG
RNAcentral lists this ribosomal RNA (253 nucleotides) under uncultured bacterium. Its description in RNAcentral is "partial 16S ribosomal RNA". It matches the Rfam family "Bacterial small subunit ribosomal RNA", at positions 524 to 776 of the family's 1533-position model. The record is from RNAcentral.